This 1536-nucleotide long non-coding RNA is filed under the name Serinus canaria (Common canary). RNAcentral's name for it is "lncRNA (ENSSCAG00000004971.1)". Lineage: Eukaryota; Metazoa; Chordata; Aves; Passeriformes; Fringillidae. The record is from RNAcentral.
CGGGGGAGCGGGGUCGGGAAGGGGAAAGGUGGGUGAGGCCUUUGGGGGGCACUUCGGGAUGAGACCUCUGGGGUGGCACGUCUGGAGCGGGUCGUGAGGGCACCCCCGGGCGGGCGGCCACCUCCGUGAGGGCAGCUCUGUGAGGGCACCCCCGUGAGGGCACCCCCGUGAGGGCACCCCCGGGCGGGCGGGCACCCCCGUGAGGGCAGCUCUGUGAGGGCACCCCCGUGAGGGCACCCCCGUGAGGGCAGCUCNNNNNNNNNNNNNNNNNNNNAGCGUGCAGGAGGAGUUCGAGGCCGUGGUGCUGGAGAUCGAGGGCGACCUGAGGCAGCUGCACUGGAGCGGCCGCGUUCUGCCCCGGCCGCGCUUCGGCCCCGAGGACGCUCCCGGCCCUGCCCCUGCAGGAUUUGGCGCUCCAGGUGCAGCCCGGCCUGCCCAGCCCUCUCCAGGGAAACCCUUGGAUCCAGGAGAGGCUGCAGAGAACAAAAAAAGAAAAAAACAGGAAAAACUGAUUCCUGGUGGAGCAGAGCGGGGUGGGGGCUGUGGGAACAUCCCCCUCUCAUCCCCCCUGCCCCGGGGGACAACCCCAGCCCCCAAAAACCCCAAAACCUGCCCAGAUUUGGGGCAUGGUGCUGCAGAGAACAAAACCAUUCCCAGAAAAACCUGGGANNNNNNNNNNNNNNNNNNNNGGGAGAAGCUGAAUCCUGGUGGAGCAGAGCGGGGUGGGAACAUCCCCCCUUCACCCCCCCUGCCCCAGGAGACAGCCAAAACCCCCAAAAACCCCAAAACCCGCCCAGAUUUGGGGUGUGGUGCUGCUGAAAGCCCUGAGGAAGAGGAGGAAGGAGCUCUGGAGUGGGACAGUGACAGCAGCGAGCUGGGAGCCAGCCCAGGAAUCCCAGAGGAGCUGCAGGGGCUGCCCCGCUGGGAGCUGCAGGCCCACAGGACUCGGCUGCUGCUGGAGCUGCUGUGGGUCCAACAGGCCAUUGCCAGCAGGAAACACUUCCUGCUGCUGAGGCAGAAGCUGGGUGUUCCUGACCAUCCCAGCAGCAUUCCCGAGUUCCUGGCCUGCUGUGGAGAAGCCCUGGAGCUGCAGCAGCAGCAGCCCUGAAGGCACAGGGGCGGCUGGGGGAUGUUUCACUCCAGAAAAAUGGAAGGAAAUCCUUCUGUGGACGUUUGGUGGGAGCAGGACUGAGCACCAUCAGCCAUGGGAGUGUCCUGGAGGGAUCCAUCCCAUCCCAUGGCAGGAGGUCCCUGCUGUGGCCCAGCUGGGACAUGAGGGACAUGAGCAUUGUCACUCCCAGCAGGUGCUGUGGGGAUUCCACGUGGGAAUGUGUGUUUGGGGUGCUCUGCCCUAUCCAGGGUGUCCCAGGGGAUUUUUGGGAGCCCUGGGGUGCUGAGUGGGGAGGGAGGCCCAGCCCCUGAUCCUUGGGAUGAGCUCAUUGCUGCCUUUCCUCUGGCCCUGGGGAUUCUCUCCUGGGGCAGAGGCAGGAAAGGACCUGGUGCUUUGUCAAUUCCUUCAGCUCAGGGACACCCCAG